UAGAGUUUGAUCAUGGCUCAGGAUGAACGCUAGCGACAGGCUUAACACAUGCAAGUCGAGGGGCAGCGGGGGUGAUGGCUUGCCAUCGCCUGCCGGCGACCGGCGCACGGGUGAGUAACACGUAUGCAACCUGCCCGCCACAGGGGGAUAAGCGGAAGAAAUUCCGUCUAAUACCGCGUGACGCGGCGUCGGGGCAUCCCGGUGCCGCCAAAGGGAUUACCGGUGGCGGAUGGGCAUGCGGCGCAUUAGCUAGUCGGCGGGGUAACGGCCCACCGAGGCGACGAUGCGUAGGGGUUCUGAGAGGAAGGUCCCCCACACUGGUACUGAGACACGGACCAGACUCCUACGGGAGGCAGCAGUGAGGAAUAUUGGUCAAUGGGCGCGAGCCUGAACCAGCCAAGUCGCGUGAGGGAUGACGGUCCUACGGAUUGUAAACCUCUUUUGCCGGGGAGCAAGCGUGCGUUCGUGAACGCGCGUCGAGAGUACCCGGAGAAAAAGCAUCGGCUAACUCCGUGCCAGCAGCCGCGGUAAUACGGAGGAUGCGAGCGUUAUCCGGAUUUAUUGGGUUUAAAGGGUGCGUAGGCGGGAUGCCAAGUCAGCGGUAAAAAAGCGGUGCUCAACGCCGUCGAGCCGUUGAAACUGGCGUUCUUGAGUGGGCGAGAAGUAUGCGGAAUGCGUGGUGUAGCGGUGAAAUGCAUAGAUAUCACGCAGAACUCCGAUUGCGAAGGCAGCAUACCGGCGCCCUACUGACGCUGAGGCACGAAAGCGUGGGUAUCGAACAGGAUUAGAUACCCUGGUAGUCCAC
Molecule: ribosomal RNA, 805 nt
Filed under: uncultured bacterium
Lineage: Bacteria
Description: bacterial SSU rRNA
Rfam family: Bacterial small subunit ribosomal RNA
Source: RNAcentral